RNAcentral lists this small nuclear RNA (20 nucleotides) under Arabidopsis thaliana (thale cress). RNAcentral's name for it is "snRNA_09883". The record is from RNAcentral. Lineage: Eukaryota; Viridiplantae; Streptophyta; Magnoliopsida; Brassicales; Brassicaceae.
AAUUUGCGAUAGAAUUAGGA